This 253-nucleotide ribosomal RNA is filed under the name uncultured bacterium. RNAcentral's name for it is "partial 16S ribosomal RNA". It matches the Rfam family "Bacterial small subunit ribosomal RNA", at positions 524 to 776 of the family's 1533-position model. The record is from RNAcentral.
UACGUAGGGUGCAAGCGUUGUCCGGAAUUAUUGGGCGUAAAGAGCUCGUAGGCGGUCUGUCGCGUCGGCUGUGAAAUCCCGAGGCUCAACCUCGGGUCUGCAGUCGAUACGGGCAAACUAGAGUAUUGCAGGGGAGACUGGAAUUCCUGGUGUAGCGGUGAAAUGCGCAGAUAUCAGGAGGAACACCGGUGGCGAAGGCGGCUCACUGGACCGGAACUGACGCUGAGGCGCGAAAGCGUGGGGAGCAAACAGG